CGUCUUCGGGGCGGGGUGCAACUCCCCACCGGCGGUAUGACAAGCCCGCGACCUUCCGCAAAGCGGAAGCUGAACCGGUGAAAUUCCGGUGCCGACAGUGACAGUCUGGAUGAGAGAGGACA
This 122-nucleotide non-coding RNA is filed under the name uncultured Victivallis sp. RNAcentral describes it as "FMN riboswitch (RFN element)". It matches the Rfam family "FMN riboswitch aptamer (RFN element)". From Rfam's summary of the family: The RFN element is a highly conserved domain that is found frequently in the 5'-untranslated regions of prokaryotic mRNAs that encode for flavin mononucleotide (FMN) biosynthesis and transport proteins. This element is a metabolite-dependent riboswitch that directly binds FMN in the absence of proteins. In Bacillus subtilis, the riboswitch most likely controls gene expression by causing premature transcription termination within the 5' untranslated region of the ribDEAHT operon and precluding access to the ribosome-binding site of ypaA mRNA. The record is from RNAcentral. Lineage: Bacteria; Pseudomonadati; Lentisphaerota; Lentisphaeria; Victivallales; Victivallaceae.